UGCGCAGGCGGAAUAAUAAGUCAGUGGUGAAAUCUCUCGGCUCAACCGAGAAACUGCCAUUGAUACUGUUAUUCUUGAGUAUAGUUGUAGUGCGCGGAAUAUAGCAUGUAGCGGUGAAAUGCUUAGAUAUGCUAUAGAACACCGAUCGCGAAGGCAGCUCACUAAACUAUAACUGACGCUCAGGCACGAAAGCGUGGGGAGCAAACAGGAUUAGAUACCCUGGUAGUCC
Molecule: ribosomal RNA, 229 nt
Filed under: uncultured bacterium
Lineage: Bacteria
Description: partial 16S ribosomal RNA
Rfam family: Bacterial small subunit ribosomal RNA
Source: RNAcentral